GCCUCGGGGGUAAAAUCAGGCCCACUCCCUCCUCGCUCGAAAAAUCCAACUCGCUCGAAUCGAAACCUAAGGUUAGGAUUCGCCGAGCCGCCGUCUCGCCGUCGGCGCCAUGUACAACGGCAUCGGGCUGCAGAGCGCGCGCGGGUCCGGCACGAAUGGGCACGUCCAGACGAACAAGUUCUUCAUCCAGCCCCGGACCGGCGGCCCGCCGCCCAAAGCGCCGCUCCACAGCCACGACGACGGCGCCGGUGGGAUGCGGAAACCGAACAAGGAGAUCCUGGAGCACGACCGGAGGCGGCAGGUCGAGCUGCGGCUGGUCGAGCUGAGGGACGCCCUCGAGGAGCAGGGCUACACGGAAGCCGAGAUCGAGGAGCGCCUCGAGGAGGCGCGCAAGCAAGCCGAACUGGAGGCUGCCGGCGGCGGCGCCGCGGGUGCAGCACCGCGUCCAGGCGAAGGGUUCACGGGCACGCAGAGCCACCAUGUCGCAGCACGCAAGGAGAAGAAGCUCGAGGCGAUGAGGGCUGCUCUUGGGCUAGAUGAUGAGGUUGGACAGAAGAAGAGUUCUCAAGUAGACAGUGAUCCGGAGUCUGGGGAGCUUGUACCUGGGAAGGCUGGAUUCUGAAGAGUAUGUUGGACAUUGAUGUUCAGAACGACAGGAAGGCUUUCAAGUUUCAAGGAUGGUAAAAAGCAUAGAGAAGGAAAAAAGGGAAUGACAACAGCACAAGUUCUAGGAAGAGUAAGCAUGGGUAUGAUUCAGAAGAUGAUUCUGAGACUGGCCAUGAUGAUGAGAAAAGGGGGAAAGAAACACAUGAAGAAAUCCUUCUUAGAUGGAGAUGUUGAUCCUGUGAUUGUUCAUAAGAAGGCAACUAUAUGAUGCACAGAUAUCAUGAUAUGAUUGACAGAGACCAAGAGGACGGUGCGGAUUGAUGUUAUCUUCAUUUAUAUUUGUGACAGUGCCUCCUUGCAACCAGCACGUUUAUGCAAGCUAUCAGCGUGUUGCUCUGAAAGACUGAAACUUCGGCGUCACCAUAAUUACUGCUCUAAUAAUGCUUGGUUGCCGUCAGCGUAGUCUAGGGACCAAUCAGUGUAUCCCAAUUAUCAGCUACCAAAAUGAUAUACAUCAUGUAUAUAUCUAGUUUCAGGUAACAAGCAUAGAUGAAUUACUGUGUGAUUGGAAUUCUGUACUCAGUAUUUGACAUGCCAAUAACAAAGAGGUUUACGGA
Non-coding RNA from Triticum urartu, 1223 nucleotides. The record is from RefSeq and is a predicted model, not a curated record. NCBI's taxonomy places the organism in Eukaryota, Viridiplantae, Streptophyta, Magnoliopsida, Poales, Poaceae.